Molecule: ribosomal RNA, 786 nt
Filed under: Bacillus zhangzhouensis
Lineage: Bacteria; Bacillati; Bacillota; Bacilli; Caryophanales; Bacillaceae
Description: bacterial SSU rRNA
Rfam family: Bacterial small subunit ribosomal RNA
Source: RNAcentral
CUAUACAUGCAGUCGAGCGGACAGAAGGGAGCUUGCUCCCGGAUGUUAGCGGCGGACGGGUGAGUAACACGUGGGUAACCUGCCUGUAAGACUGGGAUAACUCCGGGAAACCGGAGCUAAUACCGGAUAGUUCCUUGAACCGCAUGGUUCAAGGAUGAAAGACGGUUUCGGCUGUCACUUACAGAUGGACCCGCGGCGCAUUAGCUAGUUGGUGGGGUAAUGGCUCACCAAGGCGACGAUGCGUAGCCGACCUGAGAGGGUGAUCGGCCACACUGGGACUGAGACACGGCCCAGACUCCUACGGGAGGCAGCAGUAGGGAAUCUUCCGCAAUGGACGAAAGUCUGACGGAGCAACGCCGCGUGAGUGAUGAAGGUUUUCGGAUCGUAAAGCUCUGUUGUUAGGGAAGAACAAGUGCGAGAGUAACUGCUCGCACCUUGACGGUACCUAACCAGAAAGCCACGGCUAACUACGUGCCAGCAGCCGCGGUAAUACGUAGGUGGCAAGCGUUGUCCGGAAUUAUUGGGCGUAAAGGGCUCGCAGGCGGUUUCUUAAGUCUGAUGUGAAAGCCCCCGGCUCAACCGGGGAGGGUCAUUGGAAACUGGGAAACUUGAGUGCAGAAGAGGAGAGUGGAAUUCCACGUGUAGCGGUGAAAUGCGUAGAGAUGUGGAGGAACACCAGUGGCGAAGGCGACUCUCUGGUCUGUAACUGACGCUGAGGAGCGAAAGCGUGGGGAGCGAACAGGAUUAGAUACCCUGGUAGUCCACGCCGUAAACGAUGAGUGCUAA